RNAcentral lists this ribosomal RNA (497 nucleotides) under uncultured bacterium. RNAcentral's name for it is "partial 16S ribosomal RNA". It matches the Rfam family "Bacterial small subunit ribosomal RNA", at positions 28 to 507 of the family's 1533-position model. The record is from RNAcentral.
GAUGAACGCUGGCGGCGUGCCUAAUACAUGCAAGUCGAGCGAACGGACGAGAAGCUUGCUUCUCUGAUGUUAGCGGCGGACGGGUGAGUAACACGUGGAUAACCUACCUAUAAGACUGGGAUAACUUCGGAAAACCGGAGCUAAUACCGGAUAAUAUUUUGAGCCGCAUGGUUCAAAAGUGAAAGACGGUCUUGCUGUCACUUAUAGAUGGAUCCGCGCUGCAUUAGCUAGUUGGUAAGGUAACGGCUUACCAAGGCAACGAUGCAUAGCCGACCUGAGAGGGUGAUCGGCCACACUGGAACUGAGACACGGUCCAGACUCCUACGGGAGGCAGCAGUAGGGAAUCUUCCGCAAUGGGCGAAAGCCUGACGGAGCAACGCCGCGUGAGUGAUGAAGGUCUUCGGAUCGUAAAACUCUGUUAUUAGGGAAGAACAUAUGUGUAAGUAACUGUGCACAUCUUGACGGUACCUAAUCAGAAAGCCACGGCUAACUACGUG